Molecule: long non-coding RNA, 1003 nt
Organism: Rhagoletis pomonella (apple maggot)
Lineage: Eukaryota; Metazoa; Arthropoda; Insecta; Diptera; Tephritidae
Exons: 3
Source: RefSeq, a predicted model, not a curated record
UAUAUUCUAUGCUCGUAUAUCCGCAACAAACCGUUCGUGUCGGCCAAAACGUGCCGCGAUUAUACCCAAUCGACGACAAUCAUUUCAUCUACACCUCCUUCAUCUGCUCACCGUCAACCGGUAUAUCGUUAAAGCUCCAGUGGGUAUAAUUAUAGACAAACUCUUAUCCAACUUCAUUCUGGUCAACAUCGUAUACUUCGAAUUUGGACAACAUCAAAAAUCAGGCAAUCAUCGAGACUCAUUUUCUCGGCCGCCUUAGACUCAAUCAAAUGAUAACCACAUCAAGUCAUGACUUAGCUCCCUUGAGCAGGGGUCUAAAUACUCUAAAUACAUUAGAACCGCCGAAUAUAAGCACAUUUAAUUAUUGGAAACUAUGCGCGCACUACGACCUACGCCAUGCAAUCAACUAUGUACUACCACCCCGCCCCCUUUCCAACUAUGUACAAACUUUAAUUAUUAUUUAAUUUCAUUUUAAAGCUGACAACCUUCAUUGAGCUGUUUCCGUAUAUGGCAGCAAAAAGCCAAUGCAUUUUCAGAACGACACAAUAAGCGUUUGUUUGUCAUCCAAACGACCGCGUAACUGGCGCUGACGCAUCGCGUUCUUCAAAGAAAACCCACACACACUGGCAGCCCAGCCAGCCAAGCCAAGUCUCAAAAGCCAACAAGUUUGCGUAAGCAUCAUCAACAACCGAGUGGCACGAAGCUUGAGUGGCUGCGUUUGGUUCUCCUUUAAGUUGUUUUUUUUUUUUUUUUUUAGAUGCUGUGACAUACAAUAUGCGCGCUAUAGAAUUGCAAUGCGAAUAGAGAUUGGAUUUUAUGUGUGGGCGGUCCGUAGAGCGCUGUGCCAGCCACCGAGUACUUGCACAUACAUAUAUUUACGUAUGUAGGUACUUAUACAUGAUUAGAUAUUUAUGUAAGUAGCUGAAAUGAUAUGCCUUCUAAGCGCCUUCUUCCAUCAACAUUGCGGAAAUGAAAGACUACAGUAUUUUGUUUUUAUUUAAUU